RNAcentral lists this ribosomal RNA (383 nucleotides) under uncultured eukaryote. RNAcentral's name for it is "partial 18S ribosomal RNA". It matches the Rfam family "Eukaryotic small subunit ribosomal RNA", at positions 592 to 976 of the family's 1831-position model. The record is from RNAcentral.
CAAUAGCGUAUAUUAAAGUUGUUGCUGUUAAAAAGCUCGUAGUUGGAUUUCUGGUGGGAGCGAUCGGUCUGGCGCUUAGCGCGAGUACUUGCAUCGUCUCCAGCCAUCCUUGGGGAAAGUCUGUCUGGCAUUAAGUUGUCGGGCAGAGGAUCCUCAUCGUUUACUGUGAAAAAAUUAGAGUGUUCAAAGCAGGCUUAUGCCGUUGAAUAUAUUAGCAUGGAAUAAUAAGAUAGGACUUUGGUACUAUUUUGUUGGUUUGCGCACCAAAGUAAUGAUUAAUAGGGACAGUUGGGGGUAUUCGUAUUCCGUUGUCAGAGGUGAAAUUCUUGGAUUUACGGAAGACGAACUACUGCGAAAGCAUUUACCAAGGAUGUUUUCAUUAA